GACGAACGCUGGCGGCGUGCUUAACACAUGCAAGUCGAACGGAAAGGCCUCUUUCGGGGGGUACUCGAGUGGCGAACGGGUGAGUAACACGUGAGUAACCUGCCCUUGACUUUGGGAUAACUUCAGGAAACUGGGGCUAAUACCGGAUAGGAGCUCCUGCUGCAUGGUGGGGGUUGGAAAGUUUCGGCGGUUGGGGAUGGACUCGCGGCUUAUCAGCUUGUUGGUGAGGUAGUGGCUUACCAAGGCUUUGACGGGUAGCCGGCCUGAGAGGGUGACCGGCCACAUUGGGACUGAGAUACGGACCAGACUCCUACGGGAGGCAGCAGUGGGGAAUAUUGCACAAUGGGUGGAAGCCUGAUGCAGCAACGCCGUGUGCGGGAUGACGGCCUUCGGGUUGUAAACCGCUUUCGCUCAUGACGAAGCUUUGUGUGACGGUAGUGGGUAAAGAAGCACCGGCUAACUACGUG
Molecule: ribosomal RNA, 467 nt
Filed under: uncultured bacterium
Lineage: Bacteria
Description: partial 16S ribosomal RNA
Rfam family: Bacterial small subunit ribosomal RNA
Source: RNAcentral